GGGGGUAUAGCUCAGCUGGGAGAGCGCUUGAAUGGCAUUCAAGAGGUCAGGGGUUCGAAUCCCCUUAUCUCCACCA
Molecule: transfer RNA, 76 nt
Filed under: Synergistaceae bacterium
Lineage: Bacteria; Thermotogati; Synergistota; Synergistia; Synergistales; Synergistaceae
Also listed under: 1 other name
Description: tRNA-Ala
Rfam family: tRNA
About the family: Transfer RNA (tRNA) molecules are approximately 80 nucleotides in length. Their secondary structure includes four short double-helical elements and three loops (D, anti-codon, and T loops).
Source: RNAcentral